AAGACUAUACUUUCAGGGAUCAUUUCUAUAGUUUUUAACUUGAGGAAUGUGUUUCUAAACUGUAUGGUCUCGCUAACCACGAUGAAGAGAUGGUGAUACUCUUUCCUGAGCGUGAAGCGAGUAUAAAACUAUGAUUUUUGAUCAUUGGUUUUUACUAUUGAUGACCGUUCACUGCUGUUUAAAAGCAGCGAAGGGAAGAGUAUGAUCGGAGUGGU
Molecule: small nucleolar RNA, 215 nt
Organism: Girardinichthys multiradiatus
Lineage: Eukaryota; Metazoa; Chordata; Actinopteri; Cyprinodontiformes; Goodeidae
Product: small nucleolar RNA U3
Exons: 1
Source: RefSeq, a predicted model, not a curated record